RNAcentral lists this unclassified non-coding RNA (311 nucleotides) under Hevea brasiliensis (rubber tree). The record is from RNAcentral. Lineage: Eukaryota; Viridiplantae; Streptophyta; Magnoliopsida; Malpighiales; Euphorbiaceae.
AAAAAAAAAGGAAAAAGAAAAUUGGUCAUAAUAAAAAAAUUUAAUCAAAGUUUUGAAUUUUUUUGGGUUAUCAGUCCUAAAUUGGUGUUGUAUCUGAUUUUUAUUAUUGUCUCCAUCCUCUAUUCCCUUGGGGUGGAUGACAAGAUUCUUGGUUAUUCAUUUGUAUUCACAUUAGUAGCAGCAUGCAUUUAUAUUGAAGAUUCUUAUCCAUGCCUUUCUUUCUGCUCUAUUCCUACAGUCUUUCUUGAUUUUGAAAAUGGCACUGGUUAAUUGUAUUUAGAAAUCAUGCAUGUGGCUUCACAAGAAGGAAG